RNAcentral lists this ribosomal RNA (294 nucleotides) under uncultured Acidobacteriota bacterium. Its description in RNAcentral is "uncultured Acidobacteria bacterium partial 16S ribosomal RNA". It matches the Rfam family "Bacterial small subunit ribosomal RNA", at positions 1084 to 1377 of the family's 1533-position model. The record is from RNAcentral. Lineage: Bacteria; Pseudomonadati; Acidobacteriota.
GUCCCGCAACGAGCGCAACCCUUGUCCGUUGUUGCCAUACUUUAAAAAGUGGAACUCGACGGAGACCGCCAGCGACAAGCUGGAGGAAGGUGGGGACGACGUCAAGUCAUCAUGGCCUUUAUGUCCAGGGCUACACACGUGCUACAAUGGGCGGUACAAAGGGUUGCUAACCCGCGAGGGGGAGCCAAUCCCAAAAAGCCGUCCUCAGUUCGGAUUGCCCUCUCGCUCUCGCCUGCAUGAAGCUGGAAUCGCUAGUAAUGGCAUAUCAGAACGAUGCCGUGAAUACGUUCCCGG